AGUGAACGCUGGCGGCGGGCCUAACACAUGCAAGUCGAACGGCCACACAAUAAGCGUUCUCCCCUACCGGUGGCGGCUGGCGGGCGAGUGAGGCGUGCAUAGCAUUCUUAUUUUUCGUGGAGGAUAUCGUGAGGCCGCUUCCAAUACUACCUAAUACGUCCAACGGCAUGGAUCAAUGGUUCAACGCGCCUUUGCCGACUGAUAGAGCUGGUGCCGUGUCGGAUUAGCGAGUUGGUAAGGUAACGGCUCACCAAGGCGACGAUGCGUAGCUGACCUGAGAGGAUGAUCAGCCACACUGGAACUGAGACACGGUCCAGACUCCUACGGGAGGCAGCAGUGGGGAAUAUUGGACAAUGGGCGCAAGCCUGAUGCAGCCAUGCCGCGUGAGUGAAGAAGGUCUUCGGAUCGUAAAGCCCUGUUGUUGGGAAAGAAAAGCAGCAGGUGAAAACACGGCUGUUCUGACGGUACCUAAAGAAUAAGCACCGGCUAACUUCGUG
This 497-nucleotide ribosomal RNA is filed under the name uncultured bacterium. Its description in RNAcentral is "partial 16S ribosomal RNA". It matches the Rfam family "Bacterial small subunit ribosomal RNA", at positions 29 to 507 of the family's 1533-position model. The record is from RNAcentral.